RNAcentral lists this ribosomal RNA (254 nucleotides) under uncultured bacterium. RNAcentral's name for it is "partial 16S ribosomal RNA". It matches the Rfam family "Bacterial small subunit ribosomal RNA", at positions 524 to 776 of the family's 1533-position model. The record is from RNAcentral.
UACGUAGGGUGCGAGCGUUGUCCGGAAUUAUUGGGCGUAAAGAGCUCGUAGGUGGCGGGUCACGUCGGGUGUGAAAGCCCGGGGCUUAACUCCGGGUCUGCAUUCGAUACGGGUCUGCUGGGGUCCGGCAGGGGAGACUGGAAUUCCUGGUGUAGCGGUGAAAUGACGCAGAUAUCAGGAGGAACACCGGUGGCGAAGGCGGGUCUCUGGGCCGGUACCGACGCUGAGGCACGAAGGCCAGGGGAGCAAACGGG